Zonotrichia leucophrys gambelii is the source of this 1178-nucleotide long non-coding RNA. RefSeq lists it as uncharacterized. The record is from RefSeq and is a predicted model, not a curated record. NCBI's taxonomy places the organism in Eukaryota, Metazoa, Chordata, Aves, Passeriformes, Passerellidae. The transcript is spliced from 6 exons.
GUUUGUUGGCUGUGCUGUGAAGAGAGAUGGAGUUUGUUGGCUGCCCAUGAGAAAUCACCGAGAAGAAAACUUGGAGUUCAUUGAUACCCAUUGGCUGAAUAAAGAGGAGCUGUAGACCUGUCCCAGUGUUGUCCAGGAUUAGAGGAACUUUGAUACUCAUCCUAGGCAGACUCCUUGAAGAACUGAACUGCUGAGCUCUUUGAAAAAUUCUGCUGGACGCAUAAAAAGCAUUCAACUUUCCUUGAAGGAGUUUAUAUUCUUCCAAGUUAAUCCAAGUGGAGCAGAUCUUAUGAGAUCAGGUGAAACUGGAAGAUCUUGAUGUGUAUUUAACCUAAAUCAGGAUCUCAGAAAGGAAAACCCUUACAUUCUUCAACUUGGAUAUUCUGUUCUGAACCUUGAAACUAUCUUCUAAAAUCAGAAUGAGAGUCCAGCCUACUGCAGAUGAGAUUGAUUGUAAUGAUGGACAUUUUAGGCCCCCUGGAGAGAGAGGGCUGGGAACUGGAGAGAACACACAUCUGGGAAGUUUCUGAGGAGCCUGGGGAAAGCUCAAUAAAGCAACAGGGAAAAAGAAAGACCAGAUGGUGCCCUGACUGCCAGAUUCUGAAAUGGAAGAUUUUCUGUUUAAAUAAAAGUUACACUUUUGUAUCCCAAUAAGAUCCAUGAAGAAGGUACAGGUUGCAGUUACUUGAUACAAAGUAGAUGGAUGUCUUACAUAUUAGUUGUCCCUUUGUCCUUCAUCUUAAGACCUUCAGUGUGGUCACAUUCUUGAGAUGAUUAUGAGGUGUAAAACCAUAAAGAAGUCAUUUAGCCAUUAAAUGUGAGAAGUCGGUACACUAUGAUUUUCUGAUUGAAUUAUGGUCAUAAGUGUACAGGUGACAGUUUUGACAAGUCUGGUAAAUAGAGAAGUAUUAUAAUAUUUUUCAUUUUCUCAUAAACUGUGGAGGUACUUCUUAAAUGUAGUUCCGAUUUCUCUUGGAAUUAUUGUUUAGCUAGACUCAAAAAUAUGUAUUCUGUUUAAAGUUAUAAUAUUAAGGAAGGAAUAAAUUAUGCUUUUAAAUUACAGUAUACCAAGUUUAAAAUCAAUAAUUUAAUUUACAGGUGCCUUUAAGAUGUCUGUGAAAUAUGUGUUUUCCCCUGCAAUUUAAUCUGUAUUUUUAGGAAAUUUUAGAAACAAUCAC